GAUGAACGCUGGCGGCGUGCCUAAUACAUGCAAGUCGAGCGAACAGACGAGGAGCUUACUCCUCUGACGUUAGCGGCGGACGGGUGAGUAACACGUGGAUAACCUACCUAUAAGACUGGGAUAACUUCGGGAAACCGGAGCUAAUACCGGAUAACAUGUUGAACCGCAUGGUUCAACAGUGAAAGACGGUCUUGCUGUCACUUAUAGAUGGAUCCGCGUCGCAUUAGCUAGUUGGUAAGGUAACGGCUUACCAAGGCAACGAUGCGUAGCCGACCUGAGAGGGUGAUCGGCCACACUGGAACUGAGACACGGUCCAGACUCCUACGGGAGGCAGCAGUAGGGAAUCUUCCGCAAUGGGCGAAAGCCUGACGGAGCAACGCCGCGUGAGUGAAGAAGGUCUUCGGAUCGUAAAACUCUGUUAUUAGGGAAGAACAAAUGUGUAAGUAACUAUGCACGUCUUGACGGUACCUAAUCAGAAAGCCACGACUAACUACGUG
RNAcentral lists this ribosomal RNA (497 nucleotides) under uncultured bacterium. RNAcentral describes it as "partial 16S ribosomal RNA". It matches the Rfam family "Bacterial small subunit ribosomal RNA", at positions 28 to 507 of the family's 1533-position model. The record is from RNAcentral.